GUUUGAUUCUGGCGUCAGGAUGAAUGCUGGCGGCGUGCCUAAUACAUGCAAGUCGAGCGGCAGCGAGGGUUCACCCUGUUCUCAAUGAUUGAGGGUAGAGUGAAACCUGUCGGCGAGCGGCGGACGGCUGAGUAACGCAUGGGAACGCACCCCAAACUGAGGGAUAACCAGUCGAAAGAUUGGCUAAUACCGCAUGUGGUCUUCGGAUUAAAGCCUUCGGGCGGUUUGGGAGCGGCCUGUGUACGAUUAGAUAGUUGGUGAGGUAAUGGCUCACCAAGUCGACGAUCGUUAGAUGGUUUGAGAGGAUGAUCAUCCAGACUGGGACUGAGACACGGCCCAGACUCCUACGGGAGGCAGCAGUAGGGAAUCUUUCACAAUGGGCGAAAGCCUGAUUGGAGCAACGCCGCGUGCAGGAUGAAGGCCUUCGGGUUGUAAACUGCUUUUAUAAGCGAGAAAUAUGAUGGUAACUUAUGAAUAAGGAUCGGCUAACUACGUGCCAGCCGCGGC
RNAcentral lists this ribosomal RNA (507 nucleotides) under uncultured bacterium. RNAcentral's name for it is "bacterial SSU rRNA". It matches the Rfam family "Bacterial small subunit ribosomal RNA", at positions 11 to 518 of the family's 1533-position model. The record is from RNAcentral.